CUCCGGGUGAUCCCGCCGGACCCGACUGCUAUCAGAGUGGGACUAAGCCAUGCGAGUCGACGUAGCAAUGCGUGGCGAACGGCUCAGUAACACGUAGUCAACAUGCCCAGGGGACGUGGAUAACCUCGGGAAACUGAGAAUAAACCACGAUAGGUCACGAUUUCUGGAAUGGAUCAUGGCCUAAAUCUACAUGGCCCCUGGAUUGGACUGCGGCCGAUCAGGCUGUUGGUGAGGUAAUGGCCCACCAAACCUAUAACCGGUACGGGCUCUGAGAGGAGAAGCCCGGAGAUGGGCACUGAGACAAGGGCCCAGGCCCUAUGGGGCGCAGCAGGCGCGAAACCUCUGCAAUAGGCGAAAGCCUGACAGGGUUACUCUGAGUGAUUUCCGCUAAGGGGAUCUUUUGGCACCUCUAAAAAUGGUGCAGAAUAAGGGGUGGGCAAGUCUGGUGUCAGCCGCCGCGGUAAUACCAGCACCCCGAGUGGUCGGGACGAUUAUUGGGCCUAAAGCAUCCGUAGCCGGUUCUGCAAGUCUUCCGUUAAAUCCAGCCGCUCAACGGAUGGGCCGCGGAGGAUACUACAGGACUAGGAGGCGGGAGAGGCAAGCGGUACUCAGUGGGUAGGGGUAAAAUCCUUUGAUCCAUUGAAGACCACCAGUGGCGAAGGCGGCUUGCCAGAACGCGCUCGACGGUGAGGGAUGAAAGCUGGGGGAGCAAACCGGAUUAGAUACCCGGGUAGUCCCAGCUGUAAACGAUGCAGACUCGGUGAUGGGCUAGCCUUGUGCCAGCCCAGUGCCGCAGGGAAGCCGUUAAGUCUGCCGCCUGGGGAGUACGGUCGCAAGACUGAAACUUAAAGGAAUUGGCGGGGGAGCA
Molecule: ribosomal RNA, 868 nt
Filed under: uncultured archaeon
Lineage: Archaea
Description: bacterial SSU rRNA
Rfam family: Archaeal small subunit ribosomal RNA
Source: RNAcentral